AUGAUUCCGGCAAUCUACCAGCUCGACGGGCUCCACAACUUCAUCUACAUGAAGGCAAUGACAUCCUCCGACCCAGCGACUGGCGAUUUCACCAUCAUGCUCAUCCACAAUCCUUACAUGCAGCUAGAUCAUCAGAUAAGCAAUGGAAUAAGAUCACCUUCCACAACAACAUCCGCUUCUCCGACUGCAUCUUCGAUGACGGCCUCUUUCUACACCAUCACUUACCACAGAGUGGUUCAUCUCAUCGACAUCAAUCCGGAUUCUUCCUACGUGACAGGAGUGAUUGUUCAGGAGACUUUACCCAUGAUGUAUCUCAUUGUCUACCUUGCUCGAUCCCCGAAUCAUGGUGAUUUUAUACAAAUAUUCAGAUUCACAAGCUCGUUGGAGACGGAUCAAACGGACAGGUUUGUUGACUAUGAUUUAGGGGACAAUGAUGUGUUCAUCGGCCGCAAUUACACCGUCUGCCUUUCUACAAAGGAUUAUCCGGGGUUGAUGCCAAAUCACAUCUAUUUCACUGAUGAUGAUGAGUGCUCGCUUCAGGCCUUUAAAGGUACUCCUAGGGAUAUUGGUGUGUACAACUACGAGGACGAUACUUUGAGUGAGGUUGUGUCUCCUCAGCCAUGGUUGAAAUGGCCGCCUCCCUUUUGGAUUACUCCCAGCUUCAAAGACUUCCCAAACACGUAUAGACAAUGAAAAAUUUUAU
This 703-nucleotide long non-coding RNA is filed under the name Oryza sativa Indica Group (long-grained rice). Its description in RNAcentral is "lncRNA OsMH63_12G003740". Lineage: Eukaryota; Viridiplantae; Streptophyta; Magnoliopsida; Poales; Poaceae. The record is from RNAcentral.